GACCUGGGCUACACACGUGCUACAAUAGGCGGUACAAAGGGUACGCGAACCCGCGAGGGGAGGCCAAUCCCAAAAAGCCGCUCUCAGUUCGGAUUGCAGGCUGCAACUCGCCUGCAUGAAGCCGGAAUCGCUAGUAAUCGCGGAUCAGCAUGCCGCGGUGAAUACGUUCCCGGGCCUU
RNAcentral lists this ribosomal RNA (178 nucleotides) under uncultured Anoxybacillus sp. RNAcentral describes it as "partial 16S ribosomal RNA". It matches the Rfam family "Bacterial small subunit ribosomal RNA", at positions 1206 to 1382 of the family's 1533-position model. The record is from RNAcentral. Lineage: Bacteria; Bacillati; Bacillota; Bacilli; Caryophanales; Anoxybacillaceae.